GGCUCGGUGGCGGAGCUGGUCCGCCGCGCCCGGCUCUCCCGCGCCUGGCUGGUGCGGCUGGCCGAGGCGGGCGCGCUCGGCGCGCUCGCGCCC
This 93-nucleotide transfer RNA is filed under the name Anaeromyxobacter sp. PSR-1. RNAcentral's name for it is "tRNA-Gly". The record is from RNAcentral. Lineage: Bacteria; Pseudomonadati; Myxococcota; Myxococcia; Myxococcales; Anaeromyxobacteraceae.